CCUAACCAUCUCAUUGACGAAAAGUAAGAAACUUAAACCAUGACAAGAGUAAGUUUGAGAAGAGAAACUAAAAGAGGAGAAAGAUAACAUGGAAAUGUAACUGAGAAUUGACUAGCAGUCUUGAGAACUGCAAGGAACAGAAAACUAAACAUGUCUUUCUUUCCUUUUGCGCUGUUGGUUGACUUGCACUAAACUCGGAAGGUAAGUAGACGAGCAGACAAGCGGGGGACGAUAUGUAGUCGGAAUAUGCCCGGUUCUGGGACAAGGUUCCCCGACAUUGGGAGCUACUCCUAGAGUCACAGGUUUAAAGAAUCCAUCCUUUCCACUGAUAAAAGCGGUGUGGUAACGAGCGCUCUCGGUGCUUAGGUAUCCGUCUAGAUCGAAAACCACAGCAACUUUCUCAUCCUCGUCAAUGAAGAAGGUGGCACCCAUAUCAUUGUCAAACCGAACACCAGUGAGUGCCAAUGGUCUCAUAUCCACUGUCAAAAACUUGCUCCAGGACACAGAGUUGGGCUCAAUACUAGUAGUAACCCAAAACUCAACUGUGGUAAACCGAUCAUCACUGUGAAGACCCUCAUUAUGAUAUAGCACCGCGAGCUGCUGGUCUCUAACACAAGAGAGGGUCACAGUCGCAUCGAUAGUAGAGUGAAACGGAAGAGGCAGACGCAGACCAAAUGUCUCUGUUGUAAAAUCAAAACAGAGUAAGAAAUCUUCAAGAUCGAUUAUGUCGCCAUCUUCAUCAAUUUCACCACUGCUGCUAUCCUCAUGCGCAAAAAAGUAGGUAUUUCCCUUCACAGAAACGCCGUAGAGGGGAUGAUUAGGGUCCAUUUCCCCGUUGGGAGUGACCUCGAGAACCCUCCAUGAAUUAGAGCGCAAGUCGUAGAUUUCGUACCUGUAAACGGAAACGUUUCUUGUCUGCACCAUCCUCAAGAUUUUGUGGUUACGGUUGAUGUCGUAUCCAAGAGCAUAGCUGUCUCCUAUGUUGGAUUCUGUUCUGGGUCUGAUCCAUCUUGUUUGCCCCAAAUAAGGGUUCCAAACCACGACCCUCGAGUUGUCCUUAGCCACGCAUAACAACAAGCCGUCGCAGUGAUACACCCUAGAUAUCUCGACUUGAUUAAGCAAAUCUACCUGCUUUAUAGAUAGAUCCAUCGUGUCUUCUUCUUCCUCCUUGCUGCGACGGAGAUGGAAUCUAACUGAACAGACCUUUGAAUCCAUCGUCAUAAACCCCAAAAACUGCGCCGCUGCUUUACCCAGAACCCGAUCUUUGGUUAAAGCGUUCCAUAAUUUGCAAGUGGAUCGCACCGCUCUCAGAGAUGUUAUCGGAAUCCUCGUGAGGAUCUUCUCCCCUACCAGCUUCGGUGGAAGAUCGCACAUACUCGUUCUCUUCGGUUGAAGAUCGCACAUUCUCGUUCUCUUCGGUUGAAGAUCGCAC
Molecule: long non-coding RNA, 1432 nt
Filed under: Arabidopsis thaliana (thale cress)
Lineage: Eukaryota; Viridiplantae; Streptophyta; Magnoliopsida; Brassicales; Brassicaceae
Description: ncRNA (AT1G05927)
Source: RNAcentral